This 516-nucleotide ribosomal RNA is filed under the name archaeon 'A215-UMH 22% pond'. RNAcentral describes it as "bacterial SSU rRNA". It matches the Rfam family "Archaeal small subunit ribosomal RNA", at positions 80 to 577 of the family's 1478-position model. The record is from RNAcentral.
GGCGAAUAGCUCAGUAACACGUGGGGACCCUACCCUUCGGAACAAAAUACCCUCGGGAAACUGAGGCUAAUAGUGUAUAUCGUACCAGCCACUGCGAAUGAGUGGUACGCCAAACGCUCCGGCGCCGAAGGAUGUGGCUGCGGCCGAUUACGUAGACAGUGGGGGAACGGCCCACCGUGCCAAGAAGCGGUAUGGGUCAUGAUGAGUGAGAACCCAUAGACGUGAAUCUGAUACAAGAUUCCGGGCCCUACGGGGCGCAGCAUGCGCGAAACCUUUACACUGCACGAGCAGUGCGACCAGGGGGAUGCCAAGUGCACACGCAUAUGCGCCUGUGCUUUUCGCGCGCACUAAGGCGGUGCCAGAAUACAGGCUGGGCAAGAGCGGUGCCAUGCCGGCCUGCGGUAAUACCGGGGAGCCCAGGUGAUGGUCGAUCUUACUGGGCCCAAGAGCGUCCGUACGCCUGGUCGGCGCAAGUCCAUCGGUAAAUCCACGUUGCACAACAGGCUGGGCGCCUGG